RNAcentral lists this ribosomal RNA (540 nucleotides) under uncultured bacterium. RNAcentral's name for it is "bacterial SSU rRNA". It matches the Rfam family "Bacterial small subunit ribosomal RNA", at positions 777 to 1316 of the family's 1533-position model. The record is from RNAcentral.
AAUAGAUACCCAGGUAGUCCACGCCGUAAACGUUGGAUACUAGGUGUGGCGGUUAUACCAAUGACUGCCGUGCCGAAGCUAACGCAUUAAGUAUCCCGCCUGGGGAGUACGGCCGCAAGGCUAAAACUCAAAGGAAUUGACGGGUCCCCGCACAAGCGGCGGAGCAUGCGGCUUAAUUCGAUGCAACCCGAGGAACCUUACCUGGGUUUGACAUCACGGGAAAAGCUGUAGAAAUACAGUGUCCAUUAGGGCCCGUGACAGGUGGUGCAUGGCUGUCGUCAGCUCGUGUCGUGAGAUGCUGGGUUAAGUCCCGCAACGAGCGCAACCCUUGUCCUAUGUUGCCAGCGGUUCGGCCGGGGGACUCAUAGGAGACUGCCGGGGAUAACUCGGAGGAAGGUGAGGACGACGUCAAGUCAUCAUGCCCCUUAUAUCCAGGGCUGCACGCAUGCUACAAUGGCCGGGUACAACGGGCAGCGACCCCGCGAGGGUGAGCGAAUCCUAAAAGCCGGUCCUAGUUCGGAUUGAAGUCUGCAACUCGUA